RNAcentral lists this ribosomal RNA (491 nucleotides) under Actinomadura bangladeshensis. Its description in RNAcentral is "bacterial SSU rRNA". It matches the Rfam family "Bacterial small subunit ribosomal RNA", at positions 1 to 511 of the family's 1533-position model. Lineage: Bacteria; Bacillati; Actinomycetota; Actinomycetes; Streptosporangiales; Thermomonosporaceae. The record is from RNAcentral.
UGGAGAGUUUGAUCCUGGCUCAGGACGAACGCUGGCGGCGUGCUUAACACAUGCAAGUCGAGCGGAAAGGCCCCUUCGGGGGUACUCGAGCGGCGAACGGGUGAGUAACACGUGAGCAACCUGCCCCUGACUCUGGGAUAAGCCUGGGAAACUGGGUCUAAUACCGGAUAUGACCAGCCUCCGCAUGGUGUGUUGGUGGAAAGUUCUUCGGUUGGGGAUGGGCUCGCGGCCUAUCAGCUUGUUGGUGGGGUGAUGGCCUACCAAGGCGACGACGGGUAACCGGCCUGAGAGGGCGACCGGUCACACUGGGACUGAGACACGGCCCAGACUCCUACGGGAGGCAGCAGUGGGGAAUAUUGCGCAAUGGGCGGAAGCCUGACGCAGCGACGCCGCGUGGGGGAUGACGGCCUUCGGGUUGUAAACCUCUUUCAGCAGGGACGAAGCUUACGUGACGGUACCUGCAGAAGAAGCGCCGGCUAACUACGUGCCAG